RNA transcript from Panicum virgatum (switchgrass), 1689 nucleotides. It is a transcript of the gene named 23.2 kDa heat shock protein-like, with no coding region annotated. The transcript is spliced from 3 exons. Lineage: Eukaryota; Viridiplantae; Streptophyta; Magnoliopsida; Poales; Poaceae. The record is from RefSeq and is a predicted model, not a curated record.
GGGGAAGGGGAACCAGAUGCUCCACCCCACCCCAUCUCGGCAUCGCCAUCAUCGCUUUUUUUUUUUCCUGAAGGAGCUGGCGAGCUGCUUAUAUUGAGAGCAAUUGUCACAGGGUUCAGCGGUGGGACGCGUUGCCGUCGCCGCCUCCGGCGUCUACCUCGUCGGCGAGGCCGCGUACAACCGCCUCCACGGCUCCACCGUCCGGCGAGCUUCCUCCGGUAUUGAUGCGCACUGCACCUGAACUUGAUACAUGAGAUAUCUCUACACACCACACCUGAAAACAGAAGACCGAACAAUGCAAGACUUGUUCUUGAUCAGCACCCUCUUCUUGUUUCCAAGAAUGUGGAUUGUGUUUUGAAGAUGAAGUGUAUGGUUGCGUAUGAAAAACCAGAUCGAUGCUCUCAGAAGUCACCGGGGAUUUGCUCUAGUUUUGAGCUCAUUGUUUUUCUAUAUUUUCAAUUUCCUAAGGAAUGAUCGCAAGUCUUGCAGUGAUAUCCAUGGAAUGAUAUUUUGAGCUUAUCGUUUCUUUAUUUUGCGGGACAAGAAAUAAGGGUUAAAGCCAUGGAUACUGCUGUAGGACUUGCAAUCAUUCCUUAGGAUCAUCAAAAUAUAGAAAAAUGAUAAGCUCGAAUUAGAGCAAACCCUAGUGACUUUUGGGAGCAUAUGCCUCCAAUCGAUCAAGUUUUCACAGACAACAUAUACUCUAUCUUCAAAACCAAAUCUGGAUUCUCGAAAGUAGGAAGAUGGCACUACUGGAAAAAUAGGAUUUGCUCAUCGUGGAGGCUACCCUCCACGGUGAUCGUAGAAACUAAAAUAGAAAGUAGUUACUCAUUAUCUCAAUGUAAAUGAACAAAGUAAAGUCUUCCAACAGCUACCACCCGUUCUUAGUUAUUUUCAUUUCUUUUAGGUUCUAAAAUAGAGGUUUAUUACUAGGCUCGAAUCAGGUAGCUUUACCUCUGUUUUGUUGUCUCACUUAUGAGUAGCCGGUACUACAGAAUCAAGAGAUAAGCAUUGCUUUGUAAGGUGUGGUAUGUAGAGAUAUCUCAUGUGUAGCAAGUUCAAGCGUGGCUGAGCAAAGCUUUCCACCUCCACGGAGACCAUUCUAUUACCGUCUGCAGCUCCAAAUUAUGUUUCAUAAGAUCCACCCAGCCCAUCCCAGGAUGAGUAGUCUUCUCUGUAGUACUGCAGAGGAACUGCUUCCUCCUAGUGAACAAGGGGACUGGCCUACUGGGCCCUACUCUAACCAACUUUAGGCCCCGUUUAGGUCGCGAAAAUGUUUAGGUUUUGACACUGCAGCACUUUCGUUAUUAUUUGAUAAUUAAUAUCCAAUUAUAGACUAACUAGGCUUAAAAGAUUCGUCUCAUGCUAAUCAGUUAGACUAUGUAAUUAAUUAUUUUUUCAACUACAUUUAAUGCUUCAUGCAUGUGUAUAAAGAUUCGAUGUGACGGGUACUGUAGAAUUUUUUUUUAGAACUAAACAGGGCCUUACUGGAACUCUGAAUAAGUAUCCUGUGUACUGUACUUCUCUGCCGGCACUCCAUGAGUGUAGUUUGGAUUUGCAGAUGUAUCUGUAACAUGAAAGUGUUGUUCUCUGUUUAUAGAAGUUGCUACUGAGUUAUCUUGGAUUCGCGGAUGUAUCUGUGAUUUUCUUCUUCUUCUUUUGAUAUCUAUAUAUGUUGUGAUUUUCAUG